Molecule: ribosomal RNA, 254 nt
Filed under: uncultured bacterium
Lineage: Bacteria
Description: partial 16S ribosomal RNA
Rfam family: Bacterial small subunit ribosomal RNA
Source: RNAcentral
UACAGAGGGGGCAAGCGUUGUUCGGAAUUACUGGGCGUAAAGGGCGCGUAGGCGGCUCUGAUCGUCGGAUGUGAAAGGCCUGGGCUCAACCUGGGAAUGGCAUCCGAUACGGCGGGGCUGGAGUGUGGGAGAGGUUGGUGGAAUUCUUGGUGUAGCGGUGAAAUGCGUAGAUAUCAAGAGGAACACCUGAGGCGAAGGCGGGUUGCUAGGCUGACACUGACGCUGAGUGCGCGAAAGCUAGGGGAGCAAACAGG